CCACUUCCAUCUUGGCCUCCAGUUCCACGGGCACGUCCUGCUCGCAACUCUCCUGAGCCCCAAACUCCUCCAACACCUGAACACCCAAUGAGGGAGAUUCCCAGAUGAGGGGUGACCAAUGUCCCGUGGAAGGACACGGCAAAAAAGACGAGAAUAAGAAGAGCGAAACAACGCUGCACGUGCCUUCCAAGCACAUGACAUCAGCACCAUGGAAAUAGUGGGCGGCGUGCCGAGCAGCUGGGGGAUGGCGCUUCAACGGCGACGGACCGCCGCCAGCAUCAGAUCCCUCUGUCUGGCCAAAGCACAAAGCGGCCAGAGGAGGAAAAGGCCGGGCUGCGUUUUCUUGAGGAACAGGCGGCUGCUUGUUGGCACGUCCAAGGAAAACAAAUCGCGCAAUGUUUGCAGAGGGCGGAGCGCCACAACGGAGGAAAUUCGCCCCGCCUCAAUGAAUCAUCAAUGAAUGCCAUCAAGGCGUGAGUCGACCUUCGGAGCUCGUAUUACAAGUGGGACGUAAGUCACGUAUUUACAGCAUCAACGCGUUUGCUUUAGGGCCAAGAUAAAAAAGCAGGCUUGCUCUGUCAUCUAAUACAGUGGAGCCUCAGUUUUUGACCGCAAUCCGUUCCAGA
This is a long non-coding RNA of Syngnathus acus (greater pipefish), 626 nucleotides long. RefSeq lists it as uncharacterized. Lineage: Eukaryota; Metazoa; Chordata; Actinopteri; Syngnathiformes; Syngnathidae. The transcript has 3 exons. The record is from RefSeq and is a predicted model, not a curated record.